This 432-nucleotide ribosomal RNA is filed under the name uncultured bacterium. RNAcentral's name for it is "partial 16S ribosomal RNA". It matches the Rfam family "Bacterial small subunit ribosomal RNA", at positions 29 to 506 of the family's 1533-position model. The record is from RNAcentral.
AAUGAACGCUGGCGGCAUGCCUAACACAUGCAAGUCGAACGAAGGCUUCGGCCUUAGUGGCGCACGGGUGCGUAACGCGUGGGAAUCUGCCCUUGGGUUCGGAAUAACAGUUAGAAAUGACUGCUAAUACCGGAUGAUGUCGUAAGACCAAAGAUUUAUCGCCCAAGGAUGAGCCCGCGUAGGAUUAGCUAGUUGGUGGGGUAAAGGCCUACCAAGGCGACGAUCCUUAGCUGGUCUGAGAGGAUGAUCAGCCACACUGGGACUGAGACACGGCCCAGACUCCUACGGGAGGCAGCAGUGGGGAAUAUUGGACAAUGGGCGAAAGCCUGAUCCAGCAAUGCCGCGUGAGUGAUGAAGGCCUUAGGGUUGUAAAGCUCUUUUACCCGGGAUGAUAAUGACAGUACCGGGAGAAUAAGCUCCGGCGAACUUCGU